GCGCUCGUAGCUCAAUUGGAUAGAGCGCCUGACUACGGAUCAGGAGGUUAGGGGUUCGACUCCCUUCGAGCGUGC
This 75-nucleotide transfer RNA is filed under the name Roseibacillus persicicus. Its description in RNAcentral is "tRNA-Arg". It matches the Rfam family "tRNA". From Rfam's summary of the family: Transfer RNA (tRNA) molecules are approximately 80 nucleotides in length. Lineage: Bacteria; Pseudomonadati; Verrucomicrobiota; Verrucomicrobiia; Verrucomicrobiales; Verrucomicrobiaceae. The record is from RNAcentral.